RNAcentral lists this long non-coding RNA (221 nucleotides) under Chrysemys picta bellii (western painted turtle). RNAcentral's name for it is "lncRNA (ENSCPBG00000003525.1)". Lineage: Eukaryota; Metazoa; Chordata; Testudines; Emydidae. The record is from RNAcentral.
CCCUGGGAGGCUUUUUCGGCUACCACGACCUGGCGCUCUGUCUCCUUCCUUUUUCGUCGCCACAUCUGGUGACCCCGACGUGAUUCCCCCUGCUCACCGGCUGGAUAUGCCGAGUGCACCUCUGCGGCCGUUUGCCGCCCCUGAUUCGCUCCUAUGUGUCGCCCUCCUGUGAUGACAACCUGUUGGCCCUUUUUCUCACUCUGCAACAGUUCUUUUCCGUC